RNAcentral lists this long non-coding RNA (279 nucleotides) under Sorghum bicolor (sorghum). Its description in RNAcentral is "long non-coding RNA (SBIC_LNC008198)". Lineage: Eukaryota; Viridiplantae; Streptophyta; Magnoliopsida; Poales; Poaceae. The record is from RNAcentral.
GGGCCAGGGGUUCUGCUUAUAUAGUCCCCUCAAGUGAAUCUGGGCCGUUGGAUCAAACCGACAUUGAUUGAACGGUUAUCCUUGAUCCUUUAGGUCGGUGGAGUGUUGGGUAUUCUUAACAUCAUUACUAAAAGUAGACUAAGUUCUAAAUCUAGCAACGGUGCCAAAAAUGCCAAACCUAUCCCUCACACCACUUAAGCCAAGUUGUCAUCCCCAGCAUGACAUGAGAGACACGGUAUUGAAAUAUGCAAUUGCUCUUCUAAAUAAAUAAUGAAUGGG